This 1420-nucleotide ribosomal RNA is filed under the name bacterium. RNAcentral describes it as "bacterial SSU rRNA". It matches the Rfam family "Bacterial small subunit ribosomal RNA". The record is from RNAcentral.
UUCUUUGAGGGUUUGAUCCUGGCCCAGGACGAACGUUGGCGGUGUGCCUUAGGCAUGCAAGUUGAGCGGAGAGGUACCAAUCUGGUACCUCUCAGCAGCGGACGGCUGAGUAACGCGUCGGUAUCUACACUUUGGUGGGGGAUAGCAAACCGAAAGGUCUGGUAAUCCCGCAUGAGAUCGCAAGAUCAAAGGACUUAACGGUCCGCCGAAGGAUGAGCCGGCGUCCUAUCAGUUUGUUGGUGGGGUAAUGGCCUACCAAGACUAUGACGGGUAGGGGGUGUGAGAGCACGACCCCCCAGAGUGGAACUGAGACACGGUCCACACACCUACGGGUGGCAGCAACUAGGAAUCGUACGCAAUGGGCGAAAGCCUGACGUCGCGACACCGCGUGGAGGAUGAAGGCCUUCGGGUUGUAAACUUCUUUUGACUCGCUCUAAAGCGAGUAGAAUAAGCACUUGCUAACUCUGUGCCAGAAGCAUCGGUAAUACAGAGAGUGCAAACGUUGUCCGGAUUUACUGGGCGUAAAGAGUUCGUAGGCGGUUUGGUGCGUCUUGUGUGAAAGGUUCAGGCUUAACUUGGACACUGCAUGGGAUACGACCAGACUUUGAGAUCUUUCGGGGAUGUUGGAACUUGCGGUGGAGGGGUGAAAUCCGUUGAUAUCGCAAGGAACACCGACGGCGAAGGCGGACAUCUAGAAAGUAUCUGACGCUGAGGAACGAAAGCUAGGGGAGCGAAAGGGAUUAGAGACCCCUGUAGUCCUAGCCGUAAACGAUGCUCGCUAGUCCGUGGAGUUAAAUUCAUGGACGUAAGCUAACGCGUUAAGCGAGCCGCCUGGGGAGUACGGCCGCAAGGCUAAAACUUAAAGGAAUUGACGGGAGAGCGCACAACCAGUGGAUCAUGUUGUUUAAUUCGAUACAAAACGAAGAACCUUACCCAGAUUUGACAUGCUACCGUUCAGCGAACUAGAAACAGUUUGUGAUCUCGCAAGAGAUGGUAACACAGGUGUUGCAUGGCUGUCGUCAGCUCGUGCCGUGGGGUGUCGGCUUCAGUGCCGUAACGAGCGCAACCCCUGUCCCGCGUUAAAUAUUCGCGGGAGACUGCCUUAGUUUUUACUAGGGAGGAAGGAGGGGACGAUGUCAAGUCAGCAUGGCCCUUAUAUCUGGGGCUACAAACAUGAUACAAUGGCGUUUCACAAUGGGUUGCCAAGCCGUAAGGCGGAGCUAAUCCCACCAAAAAACGUCUCAGUUGGGAUUGAGGGCUGCAAUUCGCCCUCAUGAACCCGGAAUUGGUAGUAAUCGCGGGUCAGCUAUACCGCGGUGAAUACGUUCUCGCUCUUUGUACACACCGCCCUAUAGUAAUUAAUAAAUACUGUAGAUAAACGCGCGUGGCAGCAUAAAAAACUAGUUGGUUAAAAUCCAAC